ACGGGUGAGUAACGCGUGGGUAACCUGCCUCAUACAGGGGGAUAACAGUUGGAAACGACUGUUAAUACCGCAUAAGACCACAGCACCGCAUGGUGCAGGGGUAAAAACUCCGGUGGUAUGAGAUGGACCCGCGUUCGAUUAGCCAGUUGGCGGGGUAACGGCCCACCAAAGCGACGAUCGAUAGCCGAUCUGAGAGGAUGACCGGCCACAUUGGGACUGAGACACGGCCCAAACUCCUACGGGAGGCAGCAGUGGGGAAUAUUGCACAAUGGGGGAAACCCUGAUGCAGCGACGCCGCGUGAGUGAAGAAGUACUUCGGUAUGUAAAGCUCUAUCAGCAGGGAAGAAAAUGACGGUACCUGAGUAAGAAUCCCCGGCUAACUACGUGCCAGCAGCCGCGGUAAUACGUAGGGGGCAAGCGUUAUCCGGAUUUACUGGGUGUAAAGGGAGCGCAGACGGUUGCGCAAGUCUGAAGUGAAAUCCCAAGGCUUAACCACGGGACUGCUUUGGUAACUGUGCGACUUGAGUAUCGGAGGAGCAGGCAGAAUUCCUAGUGUAGCGGUGAAAUGCGUAGAUAUUAGGAAGAACACCGGUGGCGAAGGCGGCCUGCUGGACUAAAACUGACGUUGAGGCUCGAAAGCGUGGGGAGCAAACAGGAUUAGAUACCCU
This 668-nucleotide ribosomal RNA is filed under the name uncultured bacterium. Its description in RNAcentral is "bacterial SSU rRNA". It matches the Rfam family "Bacterial small subunit ribosomal RNA", at positions 102 to 788 of the family's 1533-position model. The record is from RNAcentral.